RNAcentral lists this transfer RNA (71 nucleotides) under Bos taurus (domestic cattle). It matches the Rfam family "tRNA". From Rfam's summary of the family: Transfer RNA (tRNA) molecules are approximately 80 nucleotides in length. Their secondary structure includes four short double-helical elements and three loops (D, anti-codon, and T loops). RNAcentral also lists the same sequence under 3 other names. The record is from Rfam by way of RNAcentral. Lineage: Eukaryota; Metazoa; Chordata; Mammalia; Artiodactyla; Bovidae.
UCCCAAGUGGCUCAAAGGUAAAGAAUCUGCCUGCAAUGCAGGAGACUCAGCUUUGAUCCCUGGAUUGGGAA